This 68-nucleotide transfer RNA is filed under the name Marmota monax (woodchuck). Its description in RNAcentral is "tRNA.Ala". Lineage: Eukaryota; Metazoa; Chordata; Mammalia; Rodentia; Sciuridae. The record is from RNAcentral.
GUUAUGGCUCAGUGGUAGAGCGCUCGCCUAGCACGGGUGAGGCCCUAGGUUCAAACUUCAGAAUAACA